Molecule: small nucleolar RNA, 138 nt
Organism: Ornithorhynchus anatinus (platypus)
Lineage: Eukaryota; Metazoa; Chordata; Mammalia; Monotremata; Ornithorhynchidae
Source: RefSeq, a predicted model, not a curated record
UCCUUCUCAGGGUCACACCUGGAGAGUUCCCAGGACUCUACCAGUCUCGACUACAGGAGGGAGAGUCAGGCAGAGGUAUACUCAUUCCAUUCCUAGCUUAGGCAGAAGCUAGCAAGUGGCAGGCAAUCUGCUACAAGU